Molecule: long non-coding RNA, 389 nt
Filed under: Manihot esculenta (cassava)
Lineage: Eukaryota; Viridiplantae; Streptophyta; Magnoliopsida; Malpighiales; Euphorbiaceae
Description: long non-coding RNA (MESC_LNC002789)
Source: RNAcentral
AAUGCCUUUAUAGUAUCUUCACUAUUGUCUACUCUCCAUUACUUAUAGCAACGAGAUGAACUUCAUUAGAAACAAAGAUCUCAAGUACAACGGUUGCAAGAAGGGGAUCAUAAUUCUAAGUUUUUUCAUUUGACCACCUUACAGAAAUGACAAUGCAAUGUAAUUAAUAGAUUGCAGAGUGACCAAGAUUUGUGGGUUGAGGGAGAUUCUGCGAUAUAAUCUCUGGUACGUGGUUUUUUUUAGCAAUUGUAUAUUGCCGAGUAAUUUAUUGGCAGUAGUGUUGUGGUUAACCUUAUUCCCCGACUAGUAACGAAUGAGAUUAAUGCUAUGUGGAUGAUGAGGUUAGGAAGGCAGUAUUUGAAUUAGACAGCACCAAAGCUCCUGGUCCU